AGUGAACGCUGGCGGUAGGCCUAACACAUGCAAGUCGAACGGCAGCACAGUAAGAGCUUGCUCUUACGGGUGGCGAGUGGCGGACGGGUGAGGAAUACAUCGGAAUCUACUUUUUCGUGGGGGAUAACGUAGGGAAACUUACGCUAAUACCGCAUACGACCUACGGGUGAAAGCAGGGGAUCUUCGGACCUUGCGCGAUUGAAUGAGCCGAUGUCGGAUUAGCUAGUUGGCGGGGUAAAGGCCCACCAAGGCGACGAUCCGUAGCUGGUCUGAGAGGAUGAUCAGCCACACUGGAACUGAGACACGGUCCAGACUCAUACGGGAGGCAGCAGUGGGGAAUAUUGGACAAUGGGCGCAAGCCUGAUCCAGCCAUACCGCGUGGGUGAAGAAGGGCUUCGGGUUGUAAAGCCCUUUUGUUGGGAAAGAAAAGCAGCAGGUUAAUACCCCGCUGUUCUGACGGUACCCAAAGAAUAAGCACCGGCUAACUUCGUG
Molecule: ribosomal RNA, 492 nt
Filed under: uncultured bacterium
Lineage: Bacteria
Description: partial 16S ribosomal RNA
Rfam family: Bacterial small subunit ribosomal RNA
Source: RNAcentral